Molecule: ribosomal RNA, 432 nt
Filed under: Macrobrachium potiuna
Lineage: Eukaryota; Metazoa; Arthropoda; Malacostraca; Decapoda; Palaemonidae
Description: partial 16S ribosomal RNA
Rfam family: Bacterial large subunit ribosomal RNA
Source: RNAcentral
UGACCGUGCGAAGGUAGCAUAAUCAUUAGUCUUUUAAUUGAAGGCUUGAAUGAAUGGUUGGACGAAAGAUAAGCUGUCUUUUAUAUGUARUUUGAAUUUAACUUUUAAGUGAAAAGGCUUAAAUUAAUUAAAGGGACGAUAAGACCCUAUAAAACUUGAUAUAAAUUUGAUUUUAUUUAUGGUUUAGGUAAAUAAUAAUUUAAUUAGAUUAAUAUUUCGUUGGGGAGACGUAGAUAUAAAAUGUAACUGUCUGUAAAAUUUAAUAAUUAUUAUUAGUAGUUGAUCCUUCUUUGUGGAUUGAAAGAAUAAGUUACUUUAGGGAUAACAGCGUAAUUUUCUUUGAGAGUUCUUAUCGAUAGGAGUAGUUGCGACCUCGAUGUUGAAUUAAAAUUUUAACUAGGUGUAGCCGCUUAGUUGGUAGGUCUGUUCGAC